Molecule: ribosomal RNA, 775 nt
Filed under: uncultured Neocallimastigales
Lineage: Eukaryota; Fungi; Neocallimastigomycota; Neocallimastigomycetes; Neocallimastigales
Description: partial large subunit ribosomal RNA
Rfam family: Eukaryotic large subunit ribosomal RNA
Source: RNAcentral
UAUCUCUGUAGAGUCUGCAUAUCAAUAAGCGGAGGAAAAGAAACUAACAAGGAUUCCCUUAGUAACGGCGAGCGAAGCGGGAAGAGCUCAAGUUUGAAAUCUUCAAGGUUCUACCUUGACGAAUUGUAGUUUAUAGAAGUGUUUUCUGUUAGUAGAGUGGCAAAAGUUCUUUGGAAUAGGACAUCAUAGAGGGUGAGAAUCCCGUAUUUGGUCAUUCUUUCUAGCUUUGUGAUACACUUUCAACGAGUCGGAUUGUUUGGGAAUGCAGUCCAAAAUGGGUGGUAAAUUUCAUCUAAAGCUAAAUAUUGGCGAGAGACCGAUAGCGAACAAGUACCGUGAGGGAAAGAUGAAAAGAACUUUGAAAAGAGAGUUAAACAGUACGUGAAAUUGUCAAAAGGGAAGCGUUUGACACCAGUGUUGUUUUUCCGAAAAUCAAUUACGAAUGUUUUGUUUUUAAGAAGUUAUGACUUCAUCGGCUUGCUUCUUUCUUUACGAAACUUUCUUAAUGCACUUUUCGGUUAACAAGUCAACAUCAAUUUCUUUUGUUGUAAAAGGGUACGAGGAAGGUGGCUUUCUUUUCGGAGAAAGUGUUUAUAGCCUUGUGCCUCUGCAAUCGGAGAGAUUGAGGUCUGCAGCGUAGAUCCUUCGGGGUUAGAUACAGUUUGUGCUAAGUUAUAGCUUUUCAUAGACAACUUGUUGACUAUGAUCAGUCAUGUAGCUUACUCGCUUAUGCUAUUUUACCUACGCUUAGGAUGUUGACGCAUGAGAUAUACGC